Molecule: transfer RNA, 56 nt
Filed under: Partulina redfieldi
Lineage: Eukaryota; Metazoa; Mollusca; Gastropoda; Stylommatophora; Achatinellidae
Description: tRNA-Lys
Source: RNAcentral
GCCGAGUUAUUAGUUAUUAGGCAAAAGAUUUUUAAUCUUUUUACGGUUAAGUGACC